AAAAAAAGAAAAAACAAUUUUGAUAGAAAGUUUCCUUGAAUAAAUUAAUUGAGCAUAACCCACGCAACUAACUACUUUCCUUCUAAGAAGCUCUUGUUCUUCAAUAAUGUGUACCCUUCAAUUUCAACUUCAACCCAUCAUCAAUCAAUUUCCACAUAUUCUUUGAAACCCUUCCAAUUCAUCUCUCUCUCUCUCUAUGGCAAUGGCACUUAACGCUGCUAUCUAUAUCGUUAAGAUGACUUGGAUAGCUCUCAGUGGUUGGAUCACUUCUUGCUUAACUAUUGCUGAUGAAUUCGCUACUUCUCUUCGUUCUGGUGAUAUUGGUCCUUUUCAUGUUGGUUAAUUCUAUUUCCCUUUUCUGGGUAUGCUCCAAGUUUUUUAAUUUACAACUACCCUUCAAUCUACACUUCUUUUCAUGUAUUGGGUCGUUGUGAUUAGUGUGUUUCAGGGUGAAAUUUUUGUUUUUUAGUUAGUGGGUGAUGGGUUUGUUAUUUGGGGUUUCCUUAAAAUUGAGGAAUUAGGUUUGGUAAAUUGUUUAAGGUUGUCUGUUAUAGCUUUUUAGGUUACUUGUUAUUAAAAGGGUUUACUCAUAAAUUCAAUUACAAUCAUAAUCCUUUGAUUCUCAGCUCUUAACUUGUUAGUAGUUCAUAUUUGAUUAGAUGAUGGAGUUAUGUAAAUUGGCAAUUUAAAUUGAUUCAUGGAUAUCAUAAGAGUGGUGAUUUACUAUGUUUAUUCAUUUUUAUGUUAUUUAGUUUGUUAAAUAUGUACACUUUGAGGUGUUAGCACAGUGGUAAGAGUUUAGGUUCGUAACUUCAAGAUAUUGAGUUCAAAUUGCCUCGGAUAUAGUUGUAAAAUGGUGUGUCACUUUAAUUAUAUUUUGGUGUAGUAGCUGCAUUGAGUUAGACCAUGAGCUAUCAUAAAUAUUUUUUGAACAAGAGCUAUCAUAAAUAUUGUUUUCUGUAUAUUAUGUUUAGCUUUGAGGGUAAGUUCUGCAAGUGUUCUUUUUUAGUUCUGUAAGUUAAAUAGUCAUGUAAAAGGAAAGAAAGACGGUUAAAUUGAUAUUUGAAGGAUGCCAAUGCUACAUAGACUAUAUGUAUGAGUCAAGAUGUAUUACACAAGAUCCCACUUGGGGUUGGUCUAGUGGUGUUGACUUGGGUCCUUGGAGUAUGCUCCUCCAAGGUCUCAGGUUCGAUUCCCCCUGGUGCCAAUUUUGGUGGGCUAAGUCCAUACAGGGCAAAAAAACUCUGGCUUUAAAUGGGGCCCCGCAAGUGGGCGGUGGGAUUGGUCCCCUUGGAUUAGUCGGGCCUAAGGCCGGAUACCAUGUUUAAAAAAAAAAAAGAUGAAUUACGCAAGACAUUGUUAUGUUGAUAUCAAAUUUGUACCACAAAGUAGAGAAUGAUUAGUGCCCCAAACUAUGUUGUUUCUAGAUCAAUAGGAACUAGACAGAAGGCACUUUGAAAAGCCCCUAUCUUAUGCGAUACCAGUAACACAGCCAUUUCAAGAAAGGGAACCUGAUUAUUGUAACCCCUUUAUUAAUAUCUUAACAGC
Molecule: long non-coding RNA, 1548 nt
Filed under: Trifolium pratense (red clover)
Lineage: Eukaryota; Viridiplantae; Streptophyta; Magnoliopsida; Fabales; Fabaceae
Description: long non-coding RNA (TPRA_LNC003081)
Source: RNAcentral